Molecule: transfer RNA, 76 nt
Filed under: Muiribacterium halophilum (SeqCode)
Lineage: Bacteria; Candidatus Muiribacteriota; Muiribacteriia (SeqCode); Muiribacteriaceae (SeqCode)
Description: bacterium BM706 tRNA-Met
Rfam family: tRNA
About the family: Transfer RNA (tRNA) molecules are approximately 80 nucleotides in length. Their secondary structure includes four short double-helical elements and three loops (D, anti-codon, and T loops).
Source: RNAcentral
GGACCCAUAGCUCAGUUUGUAGAGCUCCCGGCUCAUAACCGGGCGGUCACUGGUUCGAUUCCAGUUGGGUCCACCA